RNAcentral lists this transfer RNA (68 nucleotides) under Kaloula verrucosa (Chinese narrowmouth toad). Its description in RNAcentral is "tRNA-Gly". Lineage: Eukaryota; Metazoa; Chordata; Amphibia; Anura; Microhylidae. The record is from RNAcentral.
AUUUUCUUAAUAUAAUAGUAUAGGUGGCUUCCAACCACCCAGUCCUGGUUUGACCCCGGGAGGAAAUA